GAGUUUGAUCCUGGCUCAGGAUGAACGCUAGCGGCAGGCCUAACACAUGCAAGUCGAGGGGUAACAUGGUAGCUUGCUACCGAUGACGACCGGCGCACGGGUGCGCAACGCGUAUACAAUCUGCCCCCUACUGUGGGAUAGCCCAGAGAAAUUUGGAUUAAUACCACAUGGUACCAUAUUACGGCAUCGUAUUUAUGGUUAAAGGUUACGGUAGGGGAUGAGUAUGCGUCCCAUUAGUUAGUUGGUGAGGUAACGGCUCACCAAGACCGCGAUGGGUAGGGGCCCUGAGAGGGGGAUCCCCCACACUGGUACUGAGACACGGACCAGACUCCUACGGGAGGCAGCAGUGAGGAAUAUUGGACAAUGGGCGGGAGCCUGAUCCAGCCAUGCCGCGUGCAGGAAGAAUGCCCUAUGGGUAGUAAACUGCUUUUAUACGGGAAGAAAAAGGGCUACGUGUAGCCUACUGACGGUACCGUAAGAAUAAGGACCGGCUAACUCCGUGCCAGCAGCCGCGGUAAUACGGAGGGUCCGAGCGUUAUCCGGAAUUAUUGGGUUUAAAGGGUCCGUAGGCGGGCCGAUAAGUCAGGGGUGAAAGUUUGCAGCUCAACUGUAAAAUUGCCUUUGAUACUGUCGGUCUUGAGUUAUAGUGAAGUUGCCGGAAUAUGUAGUGUAGCGGUGAAAUGCAUAGAUAUUACAUAGAACACCGAUUGCGAAGGCAGGUGACUAACUAUAUACUGACGCUGAUGGACGAAAGCGUGGGGAGCGAACAGGAUUAGAUACCCUGGUAGUCCACGCCGUAAACGAUGGAUACUAGCUGUCCCGGGUCCUUGAGACCUGGGCGGCCAAGCGAAAGUGAUAAGUAUCCCACCUGGGGAGUACGUUCGCAAGAAUGAAACUCAAAGGAAUUGACGGGGGCCCGCACAAGCGGUGGAGCAUGUGGUUUAAUUCGAUGAUACGCGAGGAACCUUACCAGGGCUUAAAUGCAUUUUGACAGGGGUAGAGAUACCUUUUCCUUCGGGCAAUUUGCAAGGUGCUGCAUGGUUGUCGUCAGCUCGUGCCGUGAGGUGUCAGGUUAAGUCCUAUAACGAGCGCAACCCCUACCGUUAGUUGCCAGCGAGUCAUGUCGGGGACUCUAACGGGACUGCCGGUGCAAACCGUGAGGAAGGUGGGGACGACGUCAAAUCAUCACGGCCCUUACGUCCUGGGCCACACACGUGCUACAAUGGCCGGUACAGCGGGAAGCCAUGCGGCAACGCAGAGCGGAUCCACAAAACCGGUCACAGUUCGGAUCGGGGUCUGCAACUCGACCCCGUGAAGCUGGAAUCGCUAGUAAUCGGAUAUCAGCCAUGAUCCGGUGAAUACGUUCCCGGGCCUUGUACACACCGCCCGUCAAGCCAUGGAAGCCGGGAGUGCCUGAAGUCCGUCACCGCAAGGAGCGGCCUAGGGCAAGAUCGGUAACUAGGGCUAAGUCGUAACAAGGUAACCA
This 1486-nucleotide ribosomal RNA is filed under the name Zobellia galactanivorans. Its description in RNAcentral is "bacterial SSU rRNA". It matches the Rfam family "Bacterial small subunit ribosomal RNA". Lineage: Bacteria; Pseudomonadati; Bacteroidota; Flavobacteriia; Flavobacteriales; Flavobacteriaceae. The record is from RNAcentral.